GGGGGUGCACCGGUUUCGACUGGUACGAUUCGGGGUGCAGGUUGCAGGUGGAGCGCUCAUCUCCUGAUUGGGCAACAAUUUAACUGCCGACAACGACAGUUACGCUUACGCCUUAGCUGCGUAAGCGCGUGGAACCGUUCCGCCGCUCUGAGGGACGGCUUCCGCGUCGCAAUCAGGGCUGGCUGUGCUGCCGCUUCCGGUGACAGUGCGGUAAGAUUUUCCGGGAUACGGACCGGCCGCGCGCCGUUUGGCCAAGCCGGUUCCCGACAAUGCAAUAAACGGCUAAACCUGUAGAAGCCUGUAUUUCGCGUAUCAGGACGCGGGUUCGACUCCCGCCACCUCCAAUA
RNAcentral lists this transfer-messenger RNA (347 nucleotides) under Treponema sp. It matches the Rfam family "transfer-messenger RNA". From Rfam's summary of the family: Bacterial tmRNA, also known as 10Sa RNA or SsrA, is named for its dual tRNA and mRNA-like properties. Its role is to liberate the mRNA from a stalled ribosome. To accomplish this part of the tmRNA is used as a reading frame that ends in a translation stop signal. Lineage: Bacteria; Pseudomonadati; Spirochaetota; Spirochaetia; Treponematales; Treponemataceae. The record is from RNAcentral.